This 1531-nucleotide ribosomal RNA is filed under the name Lactiplantibacillus pentosus. RNAcentral describes it as "partial 16S ribosomal RNA". It matches the Rfam family "Bacterial small subunit ribosomal RNA". Lineage: Bacteria; Bacillati; Bacillota; Bacilli; Lactobacillales; Lactobacillaceae. The record is from RNAcentral.
GAGUUUGAUCCUGGCUCAGGACGAACGCUGGCGGCGUGCCUAAUACAUGCAAGUCGAACGAACUCUGGUAUUGAUUGGUGCUUGCAUCAUGAUUUACAUUUGAGUGAGUGGCGAACUGGUGAGUAACACGUGGGAAACCUGCCCAGAAGCGGGGGAUAACACCUGGAAACAGAUGCUAAUACCGCAUAACAACUUGGACCGCAUGGUCCGAGUUUGAAAGAUGGCUUCGGCUAUCACUUUUGGAUGGUCCCGCGGCGUAUUAGCUAGAUGGUGGGGUAACGGCUCACCAUGGCAAUGAUACGUAGCCGACCUGAGAGGGUAAUCGGCCACAUUGGGACUGAGACACGGCCCAAACUCCUACGGGAGGCAGCAGUAGGGAAUCUUCCACAAUGGACGAAAGUCUGAUGGAGCAACGCCGCGUGAGUGAAGAAGGGUUUCGGCUCGUAAAACUCUGUUGUUAAAGAAGAACAUAUCUGAGAGUAACUGUUCAGGUAUUGACGGUAUUUAACCAGAAAGCCACGGCUAACUACGUGCCAGCAGCCGCGGUAAUACGUAGGUGGCAAGCGUUGUCCGGAUUUAUUGGGCGUAAAGCGAGCGCAGGCGGUUUUUUAAGUCUGAUGUGAAAGCCUUCGGCUCAACCGAAGAAGUGCAUCGGAAACUGGGAAACUUGAGUGCAGAAGAGGACAGUGGAACUCCAUGUGUAGCGGUGAAAUGCGUAGAUAUAUGGAAGAACACCAGUGGCGAAGGCGGCUGUCUGGUCUGUAACUGACGCUGAGGCUCGAAAGUAUGGGUAGCAAACAGGAUUAGAUACCCUGGUAGUCCAUACCGUAAACGAUGAAUGCUAAGUGUUGGAGGGUUUCCGCCCUUCAGUGCUGCAGCUAACGCAUUAAGCAUUCCGCCUGGGGAGUACGGCCGCAAGGCUGAAACUCAAAGGAAUUGACGGGGGCCCGCACAAGCGGUGGAGCAUGUGGUUUAAUUCGAAGCUACGCGAAGAACCUUACCAGGUCUUGACAUACUAUGCAAAUCUAAGAGAUUAGACGUUCCCUUCGGGGACAUGGAUACAGGUGGUGCAUGGUUGUCGUCAGCUCGUGUCGUGAGAUGUUGGGUUAAGUCCCGCAACGAGCGCAACCCUUAUUAUCAGUUGCCAGCAUUAAGUUGGGCACUCUGGUGAGACUGCCGGUGACAAACCGGAGGAAGGUGGGGAUGACGUCAAAUCAUCAUGCCCCUUAUGACCUGGGCUACACACGUGCUACAAUGGAUGGUACAACGAGUUGCGAACUCGCGAGAGUAAGCUAAUCUCUUAAAGCCAUUCUCAGUUCGGAUUGUAGGCUGCAACUCGCCUACAUGAAGUCGGAAUCGCUAGUAAUCGCGGAUCAGCAUGCCGCGGUGAAUACGUUCCCGGGCCUUGUACACACCGCCCGUCACACCAUGAGAGUUUGUAACACCCAAAGUCGGUGGGGUAACCUUUUAGGAACCGGCCGCCUAAGGUGGGACAGAUGAUUAGGGUGAAGUCGUAACAAGGUAGCCGUAG